Molecule: ribosomal RNA, 515 nt
Filed under: uncultured bacterium
Lineage: Bacteria
Description: partial 16S ribosomal RNA
Rfam family: Bacterial small subunit ribosomal RNA
Source: RNAcentral
GAUGAACGCUGGCGGCGUGCCUAAUACAUGCAAGUCGAGCGAACAGAUGAGAAGCUUGCUUCUCUGAUGUUAGCGGCGGACGGGUGAGUAACACGUGGGUAACCUACCUAUAAGACUGGGAUAACUCCGGGAAACGAUAGCUAAUACUGGAUGUGGAGUAGAGAAGGCAUCUUCUUUACUUUAAAGGAGCUUUCGGGCUUCACUUAGAGAUGGACCUGCGUUGCAUUAGCUAGUUGGAGAGGUAAGAGCUCCCCAAGGCGACGAUGCAUAGCCGACCUGAGAGGGUGAUCGGCCACACUGGAACUGAGAUACGGUCCAGACUCCUACGGGAGGCAGCAGUAGGGAAUUUUCCACAAUGGACGGAAGUCUGAUGGAGCAACGCCGCGUGUGCGAAGAAGGUUUUCGGAUUGUAAAGCACUGUUGUAAGGGAAGAAUAAAAUAUAGAGGAAAUGCUAUAGAGAUGACGGUACCUUACCAGAAAGCCACGGCUAACUACGUGCCAGCCGCCGCGGUAA